CUUGAAUCUUCAUCAAUCAACGCAGAUUUUCCAACAAUCACCGAAGAAAAGAACGUUCGCCGGAAUAAUUAGGGUUCCGGUACGUCGUUUCAGGAUCCGUUGUGACAGCUAAAAAUAGCAAAACAAAUCCGACAAUAAAAAUGACCACAGCUAAAAAGGUUCGU
Helianthus annuus (common sunflower) is the source of this 164-nucleotide long non-coding RNA. RefSeq lists it as uncharacterized. The transcript is spliced from 3 exons. The record is from RefSeq and is a predicted model, not a curated record. NCBI's taxonomy places the organism in Eukaryota, Viridiplantae, Streptophyta, Magnoliopsida, Asterales, Asteraceae.